GACGAACGCUGGCGGCGCGCUUAACACAUGCAAGUCGAACGGAAAGGCCUGCUUUCCCUUGUGGAUUGCGGGUACUCGAGUGGCGAACGGGUGAGUAACACGUGAGUGAUCUGCCCCCAACUUGGGUAUAAGCCUGGGAAACUGGGUCUAAUUCCCGAUAGGACUGCAGGGUGGUGCCUGUGGUGGAAAACGAUUUUCUAGUGGUUGGGGAUGAGCUCGCGGCCUAUCAGCUUGUUGGUGGGGUAAUGGCCUACCAAGGCGGCGACGGGUAGCCGGCCUGAGAGGGUGGACGGCCACAUUGGGACUGAGAUGCGGCCCAGACUCCUACGGGAGGCAGCAGUGGGGAAUAUUGCACAAUGGGCGGAAGCCUGAUGCAGCGACGCCGCGUGGGGGAUGACGGCCUUCGGGUUGUAAACUCCUUUCGACCGCGAGGAAGCCACCUGGUUGGAAGGGUGGUGACGGUAGUGGUAGAAGAAGCACCGGCUAACUACGUG
Molecule: ribosomal RNA, 494 nt
Filed under: uncultured bacterium
Lineage: Bacteria
Description: partial 16S ribosomal RNA
Rfam family: Bacterial small subunit ribosomal RNA
Source: RNAcentral